RNAcentral lists this long non-coding RNA (1450 nucleotides) under Anas platyrhynchos platyrhynchos (common mallard). RNAcentral describes it as "lncRNA (ENSAPLG00000018498.1)". Lineage: Eukaryota; Metazoa; Chordata; Aves; Anseriformes; Anatidae. The record is from RNAcentral.
UGCAUACAUAAUGCCUGCCACUGGGUUUUAAUGAAUUAAGGGUGGGGAAUAGGAAAUUCAGUGCAGAAACUUCCUUAUUGCACACCAACAUGUAAGAAUUCUUGUGAAAAAUUACAUCUUAAAAAUAUAUAUGUAGUUUGCUCAUAAACAUCGGACACUUGAAUUUCACAGCAAUAUACUUGUUCAGACCCAGCAGUCAAACAUGGAUUAGCAGCUCCAGAAGCAUGUAAUAUGUUAAUUCACAUAAACUGUGUAGAAAAAUAAAUAAAUAAAUAAAUAAAAUAAAAAAGACUCAUUACACCUAGGGAAAACAAACAAACAAAAAAACAAACAAAAAAAAACAACAAAAAACACUGACUUUCUCAAGUUGUGUAUUAUAUUUACAAUUACAUUUACAUAGCUUCUCUGUCAAAUGCAUUGACAUUAGAGCUGCUCUGAAUUUACAAAUUUACAGAAAAUAUACCCUCUCUCAUUCUUCUGUAAAAAAAAAAAAAAAAAAAAAAAAAAAGCUUAUCAAAAGGUUCAAGAAACAGGGUGGGGAAAAAUACUAUAACAUGCAGGCAUCUGUUCAGAGUAGAUAUUUUGACCAAACAUGGGAUCCCUAAGGGCAGAAAGAUAGGUCAUAAAAUCUUCCUCAGACACAUAGUUUGUUCUCCAAGGCAAGAUUUAUGAUUUUGUCCUGCUCCUCUAACAAGAUAAUUCCUGUUAACAUAUCAAGUUUGUGGAUGAGGCAAGAUCACAGUUCAAAUAAUCUUCCCUACUCUGCUCUUGUGCCAGCUUUCACAGACAAGGAAGAAUGCAACAUGCAUAUAGAUUCAGGGUUGGGGAUAAUCCAUCAUCAUCCUGAACUUCAAAAUGACGACAUCUGGACUACAUCCUCACAAUGGUGUAGUACUGACACUUCAAACAAACUCAGAAAAUGGUUAAAAAAAGAAGCACUACUUACAACCAUCUCACAAGGAUAAUCAUCUGUGGGCAAACAAAAGACUAAAAGACUCAUUCUUGCUGGAAACAUUUGAAGUUCCUUUUUUUUUUUUUUUUUUUUUCUUUUUCUUUCUUCCCUUUUCCUGGCUUUAACUUAUUGAACUUUUUAGUUAAGGCAGCCUGAAGGCACUAAAUUACAGAUGGUGCUCACUCAUUCUAAAAUUGAAACCUUCCUCUUUCAAAAGGUAAUUGUUUCCAGUUGAUACAUGCAACAUGAAUUGGAUAAGUCAAUCAUUUCUUGAAUGAAAAUAGCUCUUAUAUUCUUGCAAAGUCAAACUCUGUCUAAGGAUCUCUUUGUCCUAAGAAAAGAAAUUGCAUGCUAUUUCCUUCCCUUAUGAUCUAACUUUGUGUCAACUCCCUCUAUAGUACCUUUGGCAGAAAAAGUAAAAGUAACAAAUGUUCCUUAUUAUUUAUAGUCCUUGAAUGUAAAAAUAAAAAUUUGAAAAAGGUAGAUUAUAUAUUUGAA